AGCAGCCGUGGUAAUUCCAGCUCCAAUAGCGUAUAUUAAAGUUGUUGCAGUUAAAAAGCUCGUAGUUGAAUUUCGGGAUCAAUGCGUCGGUCGUGCUUUCGGGUACGUACUGGUGUCAUUGGUUUCUCCUUUCUGACGAGCCGUGAUGUCAUUAAUUUGGUGUUACGGGUAGUUAGGACUGUUACUUUGAAAAAAUUAGAGUGUUUAAAGCAAGCUAACGCUUGAAUACAUUAGCAUGGAAUAAUGAAAUAGGACGUUCGAUCCUAUUUUGUUGGUUUCUAGGAUUGACGUAAUGAUUAAUAGGGAUAGUUGGGGGUAUUAGUAUUCAAUUGUCAGAGGUGAAAUUCUUGGAUUUAUUGAAGACUAACUACUGCGAAAGCAUUUGCCAAGGAUGUUUUCAUUAAUCAAGAACGAAAGUUAGGGGAUCGAAGACGAUCAGAUACCGUCGUAGUCUUAACCAUAAACUAUGCCGACUAGGGAUCGGAUGAUGUUAAUUUUUUAAUGACUCAUUCGGCGCCUU
Molecule: ribosomal RNA, 520 nt
Filed under: uncultured Glomus
Lineage: Eukaryota; Fungi; Glomeromycota; Glomeromycetes; Glomerales; Glomeraceae
Description: SSU rRNA
Rfam family: Eukaryotic small subunit ribosomal RNA
Source: RNAcentral